GAAACUCAAAGGAAUUGACGGGGGCCCGCACAAGCGGUGGAGCAUGUGGUUUAAUUCGAAGCAACGCGAAGAACCUUACCAGGUCUUGACAUCCCGUUGACCACUAUGGAGACAUGGUUUUCCCUUCGGGGACAACGGUGACAGGUGGUGCAUGGUUGUCGUCAGCUCGUGUCGUGAGAUGUUGGGUUAAGUCCCGCAACGAGCGCAACCCUUGUUCUUAGUUGCCAUCAUUUAGUUGGGCACUCUAAGGAGACUGCCGGUGACAAACCGGAGGAAGGUGGGGAUGACGUCAAAUCAUCAUGCCCCUUAUGACCUGGGCUACACACGUGCUACAAUGGACGGUACAAACGGUUGCCAACCCGCGAGGGGGAGCUAAUCCGAUAAAACCGUUCUCAGUUCGGAUUGUAGGCUGCAACUCGCCUGCAUGAAGUCGGAAUCGCUAGUAAUCGCGGAUCAGCAUGUCGCGGUGAAUACGUUCCCGGGUCUUGUACACACCGCCCGUCACACCAUGGGAGUGGGUUUCACCAGAAGCCGGUCGCUUAACCCACAAGGGAUGGCGCCGACCACGGUGAGAUUCAUGACUGGGGUG
This 589-nucleotide ribosomal RNA is filed under the name uncultured soil bacterium. Its description in RNAcentral is "bacterial SSU rRNA". It matches the Rfam family "Bacterial small subunit ribosomal RNA", at positions 896 to 1482 of the family's 1533-position model. The record is from RNAcentral.